This 1637-nucleotide ribosomal RNA is filed under the name Clostridioides difficile DA00203. RNAcentral's name for it is "bacterial LSU rRNA". It matches the Rfam family "Bacterial large subunit ribosomal RNA", at positions 1278 to 2925 of the family's 2925-position model. Lineage: Bacteria; Bacillati; Bacillota; Clostridia; Peptostreptococcales; Peptostreptococcaceae. The record is from RNAcentral.
CAGUAUGGGAGUGAGAAUGUUGGCAUGAGUAGCGAGAUGUGGGUGAGAAUCCCACAGGCCGUAAACCCAAGGUUUCCAGGGGAAGGUUCGUCCGCCCUGGGUUAGUCGGGACCUAAGCUGAGGCCGAAAGGCGUAGGUGAUGGACAACAGGUUGAUAUUCCUGUACUACCGAUAACCGUUUGAGAGAAGGGAUGACACAGUAGGAUAAGCUAAGCACACUGUUGGUUAUGUGUGCCCAAGCAUUGAGGCAGUCAAAGUAGGUAAAUCCGCUUUGAUAAUGCUGGGAUGUGAUGGGGAGCGAAAUUUAGUAGCGAAGUAGCUGAUUUCACACUGUCAAGAAAAGUCUCUAUCGAGGUUAAAGGUACCCGUACCGCAAACCGACACAGGUGGGUGAGGAGAGUAUCCUAAGGCCAGCGAGAGAACUGUUGUUAAGGAACUCGGCAAAAUGACCCCGUAACUUAGGGAUAAGGGGUGCCUCCAUCAGGUGGCCGCAGAGAAUAGGCCCAAGCGACUGUUUACCAAAAACAUAGGUUUCUGCUAAGUCGCAAGACGAUGUAUAGGAGCUGACGCCUGCCCGGUGCUGGAAGGUUAAGGGGAUCUGUUAGAGCAAUCGAAGCAGUGAACUUAAGCCCCAGUAAACGGCGGCCGUAACUAUAACGGUCCUAAGGUAGCGAAAUUCCUUGUCGGGUAAGUUCCGACCCGCACGAAAGGCGUAACGAUUUGGGCACUGUCUCAACAACAGACUCGGUGAAAUUGUAAUUCCGGUGAAGAUGCCGGAUACCUGCGACAGGACGGAAAGACCCCAUGGAGCUUUACUGUAGCUUGACAUUGGGUCUUGGUACUACAUGUACAGGAUAGGUGGGAGGCUUUGAAACCAGGACGCCAGUUUUGGCGGAGCCAUCCUUGGGAUACCACCCUUGUAGUACUGGGACUCUAACCAUAGGCCAUGAAUCUGGUCUUGGGACACUGUCAGGUGGGCAGUUUGACUGGGGCGGUCGCCUCCCAAAAGGUAACGGAGGCGCUCAAAGGUUCUCUCAGUACGGUCGGAAAUCGUACGUAGAGUGUAAAGGCAAAAGAGAGCUUGAUUGCAAGACAUACAGGUCGAGCAAGGAUGAAAAUCGGACUUAGUGAUCCGGUGGUUCUGCGUGGAAGGGCCAUCGCUCAACGGAUAAAAGCUACCCUGGGGAUAACAGGCUUAUCUCCCCCAAGAGUCCACAUCGACGGGGAGGUUUGGCACCUCGAUGUCGGCUCAUCACAUCCUGGGGCUGUAGUAGGUCCCAAGGGUUGGGCUGUUCGCCCAUUAAAGUGGUACGCGAGCUGGGUUCAGAACGUCGUGAGACAGUUCGGUCCCUAUCCGUCGCAGGCGUAGGAAAUUUGAGAAGACCUGUCCUUAGUACGAGAGGACCGGGAUGGACGUACCUCUGGUGUACCAGUUGUUCUGCCAAGGGCAUGGCUGGGUAGCUAUGUACGGAAUGGAUAAGCGCUGAAAGCAUCUAAGCGUCGAAGCCAACUUCAAGUAUAAGAUUUUCCCACCGCAAGGGUAAGACCCCAGAAAGACUAUCUGGUUGAUAGGUCGAAGGUGUAAGUGCAGCAAUGUAUUUAGCUUAUCGAUACUAAUAGGUCGAGGACUUGACCAA